This 253-nucleotide ribosomal RNA is filed under the name uncultured bacterium. RNAcentral's name for it is "partial 16S ribosomal RNA". It matches the Rfam family "Bacterial small subunit ribosomal RNA", at positions 524 to 776 of the family's 1533-position model. The record is from RNAcentral.
UACAGAGGUCCCAAGCGUUGUUCGGAUUCACUGGGCGUGAGGGGUGCGUAGGCGGUCUGGUAAGUCUGAUGUGAAAUCUCACAGCUUAACUGUGAAACUGCAUUGGAUACUAUUCGGCUAGAGAGUUGGAGGGGGGACUGGAAUUCUCGGUGUAGCAGUGAAAUGCGUAGAUAUCGAGAGGAACACCAGUGGCGAAGGCGAGUCCCUGGACAACUUCUGACGCUGAGGCGCGAAAGCGAGGGGAGCAAACAGG